Molecule: ribosomal RNA, 433 nt
Filed under: uncultured bacterium
Lineage: Bacteria
Description: partial 16S ribosomal RNA
Rfam family: Bacterial small subunit ribosomal RNA
Source: RNAcentral
AACGAACGCUGGCGGCAUGCCUAACACAUGCAAGUCGAACGAGACCUUCGGGUCUAGUGGCGCACGGGUGCGUAACGCGUGGGAACCUGCCCUUAGGUUCGGAAUAACUCCCCGAAAGGGGUGCUAAUACCGGAUAAUGUCUUCGGACCAAAGAUUUAUCGCCUUUGGAUGGGCCCGCGUUGGAUUAGCUAGUUGGUAGGGCAAAAGCCUACCAAGGCGACGAUCCAUAGCUGGUCUGAGAGGAUGAUCAGCCACACUGGGACUGAGACACGGCCCAGACUCCUACGGGAGGCAGCAGUGGGGAAUAUUGGACAAGGGGCGAAAGCCUGAUCCAGCAAUGCCGCGUGAGUGAUGAAGGCCUUAGGGUUGUAAAGCUCUUUUACCCGGGAUGAUAAUGACAGUACCGGGAGAAUAAGCUCCGGCUAACUCCGUG